GACGAACGCUGGCGGCGUGCCUAAUACAUGCAAGUCGAACGAACUCUGGUUUUUGAUUGACGGUGCUUGCACCUGAUUGAUUAAACAUUUGAGUGAGUGGCGAACUGGUGAGUAACACGUAGGAAACCUGCCCAGAAGCGGGGGAUAACACCUGGAAACAGAUGCUAAUACCGCAUAACAACUUGAACCGCAUGGUUCGAGUUUGAAAGAUGGCUCUGCUAUCACUUCUGGAUGGUCCUGCGGCGUAUUAGCUAGAUGGUGAGGUAACGGCUCACCAUGGCAAUGAUACGUAGCCGACCCGAGAGGGUAAUCGGCCACAUUGGGACUGAGACACGGCCCAAACUCCUACGGGAGGCAGCAGUAGGGAAUCUUCCACAAUGGACGAAAGUCUGAUGGAGCAACGCCGCGUGAGUGAAGAAGGGUUCCGGCUCGUAAAACUCUGUUGUUAGAGAAGAACAUAUCUGAGAGUAACUGUUCAGGUAUUGACGGUAUCUAACCAGAAAGCCACGGCUAACUACGUGCCAGCCGCCGCGGUAA
This 537-nucleotide ribosomal RNA is filed under the name uncultured bacterium. RNAcentral describes it as "partial 16S ribosomal RNA". It matches the Rfam family "Bacterial small subunit ribosomal RNA", at positions 28 to 523 of the family's 1533-position model. The record is from RNAcentral.